MicroRNA precursor from Oryza rufipogon (brownbeard rice), 206 nucleotides. It matches the Rfam family "MIR812 microRNA precursor family". The record is from Rfam. NCBI's taxonomy places the organism in Eukaryota, Viridiplantae, Streptophyta, Magnoliopsida, Poales, Poaceae.
AAUACUUGUCGCUUUAAGUUCUUGUUCGUAACGUUUAAUCAUUCGUCUUAUUCAAAAAAGUAUGAAAUUAUUAUUUGUUUUGUUUGUUACUUACUUUAUUAUGAAAAGUACUUCAAGUAUGACUUAUCCUUUUAUAUUUGCACUAAUUUUUCAAAUAAGACGAAUGGUUAAACGUUGCAAGUAAAAAAUCAAAGCGACCACUUAUU